RNAcentral lists this ribosomal RNA (519 nucleotides) under uncultured bacterium. Its description in RNAcentral is "partial 16S ribosomal RNA". It matches the Rfam family "Bacterial small subunit ribosomal RNA", at positions 28 to 507 of the family's 1533-position model. The record is from RNAcentral.
GACGAACGCUGGCGGCGUGCCUAAUACAUGCAAGUCGAGCGAGUCUGCCUUGAAGAUCGGAGUGCUUGCACUCUGUGAAACAAGAUACAGGCUAGCGGCGGACGGGUGAGUAACACGUGGGUAACCUGCCCAAGAGAUCGGGAUAACACCUGGAAACAGAUGCUAAUACCGGAUAACAACAGAUGAUGCCUAUCAACUGUUUAAAAGAUGGUUCUGCUAUCCCUCUUGGAUGGCCCUGCGGUGCAUUAGCUAGUUGGUAGGGUAACGGCCUACCAAGGCGAUGAUGCAUAGCCGAGUUGAGAGACUGAUCGGCCACAUUGGGACUGAGACACGGCCCAAACUCCUACGGGAGGCAGCAGUAGGGAAUCUUCCACAAUGGACGCAAGUCUGAUGGAGCAACGCCGCGUGAGUGAAGAAGGGUUUCGGCUCGUAAAGCUCUGUUGUUGGUGAAGAAGGACAGGGGUAGUAACUGACCUUUGUUUGACGGUAAUCAAUUAGAAAGUCACGGCUAACUAAGUG